CAGCUCCAUGGACAGGAAAUGAAGCCACGAACAACCAGAGCGAUCUUGCAAAUUUGCGACCCAGCAAAGCAAUCGCUCAACGGUAAGACUUUUGGAACCUGGCGCGGGCUCCACGACCACCGAACUUCUUGGGCUCGCAGCGCCUGGGGUCGGCGACGAGGAGUGUGCGGUCGUAGCGAGAGAAGAUGUCCUUGACCUCCUUCUUGGCGGCCUCGUCGACGUACUUCUGGUAGUAGGCGACGAGCCCCUUGGCGACGGCCUGGCGGAUGGCGUAGAUCUGCGACGUCUUCC
Molecule: long non-coding RNA, 291 nt
Filed under: Sorghum bicolor (sorghum)
Lineage: Eukaryota; Viridiplantae; Streptophyta; Magnoliopsida; Poales; Poaceae
Description: long non-coding RNA (SBIC_LNC007548)
Source: RNAcentral